Molecule: non-coding RNA, 588 nt
Organism: Cavia porcellus (domestic guinea pig)
Lineage: Eukaryota; Metazoa; Chordata; Mammalia; Rodentia; Caviidae
Source: the annotation of a RefSeq genome assembly
ACAAAACAAGCAGAUUCUGUAGACAGUUUAAAAACCUGCUGUUCUCUGGAGGAGAGGAAGAGAAAACCUGAUAGCAGAAGCAUCUCUCGUGGCUGAAGGUCGCAGCCCUCCUGGAGAGGGCAAUGAAGACACCCACUGCUCCUUGGUUCCUGUGCUUGUGGCUGCAGUUGCACAGUUUGAGUGGAGGCGAGCAGUUGGAGCAGCAUCCAUCUUUCACAAGUGUCUUGGAGGGAGAUAGUUCUGUUCUCAACUGCACUUACACGGACAGCACUUCCUCUUAUUUCUACUGGUAUAAACAAGAACCUGGUGCAGGUCUCCAGUUGCUCAUAAAUAUUUUUUCAAAUACAGCCAACAAACAAGAUGGAAGAUUCAUUGUCUUUUUGAAUAAAAAGGAUAAACAUCUCUCCCUGAACAUCACAUCUACCCGUCCUGGAGACUCAGCCUCCUACUUCUGUGCAGCCAGCACACAGAGCUCUUGAGGCACCUGCAGCCCGUGCGCAAACCUGGAACUGGGGCUGGGUACACAGCCUGCCAUUCUCAUGUUUAAAUUCAGGAUUUUCCCAUUGUUUUUAAGACAUGAACAUUUUA